Molecule: ribosomal RNA, 468 nt
Filed under: uncultured bacterium
Lineage: Bacteria
Description: partial 16S ribosomal RNA
Rfam family: Bacterial small subunit ribosomal RNA
Source: RNAcentral
GACGAACGCUGGCGGCGUGCUUAACACAUGCAAGUCGAACGGAAAGGCCCUGCUUUUGUGGGGUGCUCGAGUGGCGAACGUGUGAGUAACACGUGAGUAACCUGCCCUUGACUUUGGGAUAACUUCAGGAAACUGGGGCUAAUACCUGAUAGGAGCUCCUGCUGCAUGGUGGGGGUUGGAAAGUUUCGGCGGUUGGGGAUGGACUCGCGGCUUAUCAGCUUGUUGGUGGGGUAGUGGCUUACCAAGGCUUUGACGGGUAGCCGGCCUGAGAGGGUGACCGGCCACAUUGGGACUGAGAUACGGCCCAGACUCCUACGGGAGGCAGCAGUGGGGAAUAUUGCACAAUGGGCGGAAGCCUGAUGCAGCAACGCCGCGUGCGGGAUGAAGGCCUUCGGGUUGUAAACCGCUUUCGCCUGUGACGAAGCGUGAGUGACGGUAAUGGGUAAAGAAGCACCGGCUAACUACGUG